RNAcentral lists this ribosomal RNA (305 nucleotides) under uncultured bacterium. Its description in RNAcentral is "partial 16S ribosomal RNA". It matches the Rfam family "Bacterial small subunit ribosomal RNA", at positions 508 to 807 of the family's 1533-position model. The record is from RNAcentral.
ACAGCAGCCGCCGCGGUAAUACGUAGGUGGCGAGCGUUGUCCGGAAUUAUUGGGCGUAAAGGGCUCGCAGGCGGUUUCUUAAGUCUGAUGUGAAAGCCCCCGGCUCAACCGGGGAGGGUCAUUGGAAACUGGGAAACUUGAGUGCAGAAGAGGAGAGUGGAAUUCCACGUGUAGCGGUGAAAUGCGUAGAGAUGUGGAGGAACACCAGUGGCGAAGGCGACUCUCUGGUCUGUAACUGACGCUGAGGAGCGAAAGCGUGGGGAGCGAACAGGAUUAGAUACCCCUGUAGUCCCUGUCUCUUAUAC